This 253-nucleotide ribosomal RNA is filed under the name uncultured bacterium. RNAcentral's name for it is "partial 16S ribosomal RNA". It matches the Rfam family "Bacterial small subunit ribosomal RNA", at positions 524 to 776 of the family's 1533-position model. The record is from RNAcentral.
UACGUAGGGUGCGAGCGUUGUCCGGAAUUAUUGGGCGUAAAGAGCUCGUAGGCGGCCUGUCGCGUCGGUUGUGAAAGCCCGGGGCUUAAACCCGGGUCUGCAGUCGAUACGGGCAGGCUAGAGUUCGGUAGGGGAGAUCGGAAUUCCUGGUGUAGCGGUGAAAUGCGUAGAUAUCGGGAGGAACACCAGUGGCGAAGGCGGGUCUCUGGGAUGAUGCUGACGCUGAGGCGCGAAAGCCAGGGGAGCAAACGGG